RNAcentral lists this ribosomal RNA (470 nucleotides) under uncultured bacterium. Its description in RNAcentral is "partial 16S ribosomal RNA". It matches the Rfam family "Bacterial small subunit ribosomal RNA", at positions 28 to 507 of the family's 1533-position model. The record is from RNAcentral.
GACGAACGCUGGCGGCGUGCUUAACACAUGCGAGUCGAACGCUGAAGCACCAGCUUGCUGGUGUGGAUGAGUGGCGAACGGGUGAGUAAUACGUGAGUAACCUGCCCUUGACUCUGGGAUAAGCCCGGGAAACUGGGUCUAAUACUGGAUGCUACAUGUCACCGCAUGGUGGUGUGUGGAAAGGGUUUACUGGUCUUGGAUGGGCUCACGGCCUAUCAGCUUGUUGGUGAGGUAAUGGCUCACCAAGGCGACGACGGGUAGCCGGCCUGAGAGGGUGACCGGCCACAAUGGGACUGAGACACGGCCCAGACUCCUACGGGAGGCAGCAGGGGGGAAUAUUGCACAAUGGGCGAAAGCCGGAUGCAGCGACGCCGCGUGAGGGAUGACGGCCUUCGGGUUGUAAACCUCUUUCAGCAGGGAAGAAGCCACAAGUGACAGUACCUGCAGAAGAAGCGCCGGCUAACUACGUG